Molecule: long non-coding RNA, 1017 nt
Organism: Chelonia mydas (Green sea turtle)
Lineage: Eukaryota; Metazoa; Chordata; Testudines; Cheloniidae
Exons: 3
Source: RefSeq, a predicted model, not a curated record
AAGGGCAAGCACUCAACUCGCCCUCUCUCAGCUGUGCAGGCUCAGUAAGUCUAGCAGGCAUUAGGCAAACAGGAGUUAAAAAAAAAUCCAUAGAAACGUAUCUUUUUCAUAAGAGACAGGAGGUAUUACUCUCAGGAACAAAAUUAUUGAGUAAGAUGGUGCCAUUUUUACAUAAAUGCUUUGCAGACUUGACCUGCGCUUUAAAAUAAGAUACAUGUGUAUAUAUUUUAAAAACAAACCAACAAACACAACCAUAAAGACCAGUGGAAAAAAUAAAAAGAAAUAAAGCCGUAACUGGACUGAAGCUGGUAACAGCAAGAAGAACAGGACUAUGAGUGUCCAGUUUUGAUCACCAAUGUAUCUAUUCCCAGAAGAUGUAGAGAAACUGGAAAGGAUCCCGAGGCAAGCGACAAAAAUGAUCAAAGGGAUGGAAUGCAAGGCUGAAGGAAUUGGAAGGAGCUGGGUGGCAGCCUGAGAAGGAGUUGAAGCGACAUGAGCAGAGUGGUAUGAGGACUUUGAAGAGGAAUAAAUGAAGGGAGCUUGUACAGAGUAGCAGAAUGGGCCUGAAGCCCGACUACCUAAUUCCUUCCAAAGGACCAAGGCUGAAGCUUUUUGGUAGAGGAAGGGAGAGCAGACUGAACUUCCCCUUCACCUCCCCACUGUUCCAAAAAAAGGACUUGGACAUACACCCCAGAGACUCCUGUGAACCAGGGACACUAGCGGGAAGAUUUUGUGUGGACUUGAAUUGAAUAUUUUUGGUUUAGCAGAAGGCUAAACUACUGAGCCAGCAAGAAAAAUGAAGUAAGUGGCUCCCGCAGUAUCCUAAAACUUGACAGAAAGAUGGCUGGCCACCAUGGAUGGCACAGGGCUCCCGAAAGCAACGUAGAAGAAUGUCAGACCAGCUUGGGACUGAAUUUCAGCAUCCUAUUUCCACCAGAAAAGACAGCAGAGCUGCUCCACAGGUAGAUUACCUCCCCAUAAUCAUUAAUUUUCUUAUCAUGAGGAAGUCACAUUAAU